Prunus dulcis (almond) is the source of this 1262-nucleotide long non-coding RNA. RefSeq lists it as uncharacterized. The record is from RefSeq and is a predicted model, not a curated record. The transcript is spliced from 7 exons. NCBI's taxonomy places the organism in Eukaryota, Viridiplantae, Streptophyta, Magnoliopsida, Rosales, Rosaceae.
CUAUAAAUUUGGGAUUUACAUCUCUUAACAAUCAAUGUCGAGCCAUCUCUAAGGAUACGGGGCCGCACAAUCAGCUGCUGCUGAUGCCGCCGCCACAGCCGGCCUCUCCAGCGUCUACACCUCAUGUGCCCUAAACGACUCCUACCUAUCCGACCUGACCCUACGGUACCUUUCCUGGUCGGACCCUUCCGCCUCCGCCACCGACCACCAUAGCCGAAGUAGCUCUAUGUAUCUGGCGACGUCGCAUUUGAUGUCCCACCGUUCCCGAUGUCGAGCCCGGCGUUCUUGGCGUCAAACGCCCCUCUGAAGGUUCACUUGUCGCUCCAAGUGCAUUCCUUUCUGAGAGACCUGGAGAGCCAGAUUGUCCAUACUUUAUAAAGACUCAAAAUGCAAAUUUGGUAUGAGGUGCAAGUUCAAUCAUCCGAAGGACAAACUAGCUGCUGCUGUUGCUUCAGAAAAUUCUAAUGUCUUUGCCUUACCUGAGAGGCCUUCUGAACUCCCAUGUGCAUUCUACUUGAAAAUGGGGCAAUGUAAGUUUGGUCCAACCUGAAAAUUUAAUCAUCCGAAAGAUAUCCAGAUACCAUCAGCCAAGCAAGAGAAUAAAAUUGGAGAAAUUGGGACAACUAUUCAUCUAGAGGGAACUGGAUUUGCUGUGAAGCCUCCUGCACUAUCAUUUAACUCCAAGGGUCUUCCUGUAAGUCCGGGUGAACCCGAUUGUCCAUUCUACCUGAAAACUGGAAGUUGCAAGUAUGGAGCCACUUGGGCACGACUAAAGAGAAUAGAAAAGGCACUAUGAGACGAUCUUGUUGCUGCCUCCACCACGCACUGUUGGCAAUACCUUCUUUGGUGAGAAGAAGGCCACGCAGCUUACGACACUAGUUCUCCAAUUCUCGUUGCCUAAGGCCUAGAGCAUCAAUUGCAACUUUUACUUCAUCAAAGCGGGAUGAUAUCUUUAUGCUAUGGAUGAUCCCUGCCCCAAAAACGGCACACCAAAUUCCUCAACAAGUUAAGUAGGAAGUUUGUAAUUAGUAAUCUUACGGCAUGAAUUCUUUAUAAAGGACUGCAACGUAAAAAAAGCCCUUCAUGUGAUCCACGAAGACCUGAUAAUCAACUUGACUUGAAUUUUAUUGAGAAAAUUCUCAGUGCAGUCAGGACCCCAAAUCAGAUCAAUACCUCUCCUUAUAUUUAAAGAAAGACCCGGAGUCAUUGAAGGAUCCGACCACAUCACAUCGCCAGGAAUCAAGUUGGUACCUUCUCAUGGA